GUUUUUAGCAAUAAGAACUUCUAGUGGCAAACGGGUGAGUAACACGUAGGGAUCUACCUUGAAGUGGGGAAUAACGGACCGAAAGGUUCGCUAAUACCGCAUGUGCUCGAGAGAGCAAAGGAUUCAGCAAUGGAUUCGCUUUAAGAGGAGCCUGCGUUCGAUCAGGUAGUUGGUGAGGUAACGGCUCACCAAGCCGAUGACCGAUAGCUGUUCUGAGAGGAAGAUCAGCCACACUGGGACUGUGACACGGCCCAGACUCCUACGGGAGGCAGCAGCGAGGAAUAUUGCACAAUGGACGCAAGUCUGAUGCAGUAACGCCGCGUGGGGGAAGAAGACCUUCGGG
Molecule: ribosomal RNA, 343 nt
Filed under: uncultured bacterium
Lineage: Bacteria
Description: bacterial SSU rRNA
Rfam family: Bacterial small subunit ribosomal RNA
Source: RNAcentral